Molecule: ribosomal RNA, 841 nt
Filed under: uncultured bacterium
Lineage: Bacteria
Description: bacterial SSU rRNA
Rfam family: Bacterial small subunit ribosomal RNA
Source: RNAcentral
UUAANUCCGGUUUUGCAGUGGGUACGGGCUAACUAGAGUGCAGUAGGGGAGACUGGAAUUCCUGGUGUAGCGGUGGGAUGCACAGAUAUCAGGAGGAACACCGAUGGCGAAGGCAGGUCUNUGGGCUGUAACUGACGCUGAGAAGCGAAAGCAUGGGGAGCGAACAGGAUUAGAUACCCUGGUAGUCCAUGCCGUAAACGUUGGGCACUAGGUGUGGGGGACAUUCCACGUUUUCCGCGCCGUAGCUAACGCAUUAAGUGCCCCGCCUGGGGAGUACGGCCGCAAGGCUAAAACUCAAAGGAAUUGACGGGGGCCCGCACAAGCGGCGGAGCAUGCGGAUUAAUUCGAUGCAACGCGAAGAACCUUACCAAGGCUUGACAUGCAUUAGAUCGCGUCAGAGAUGGCGUUUCCCUUCGGGGCUGGUGUACAGGUGGUGCAUGGUUGUCGUCAGCUCGUGUCGUGAGAUGUUGGGUUAAGUCCCGCAACGAGCGCAACCCUCGUUCUAUGUUGCCAGCGGUUCGGCCGGGGACUCAUAGGAGACUGCCGGGGUCAACUCGGAGGAAGGUGGGGAUGACGUCAAAUCAUCAUGCCCCUUAUGUCUUGGGCUUCACGCAUGCUACAAUGGCCGGUACAGAGGGUUGCGAUACUGUGAGGUGGAGCUAAUCCCUUAAAGCCGGUCUUAGUUCGGAUUGGGGUCUGCAACUCGACCCCAUGAAGUCGGAGUCGCUAGUAAUCGCAGAUCAGCAACGCUGCGGUGAAUACGUUCCCGGGCCUUGUACACACCGCCCGUCAAGUCACGAAAGUUGGUAACACCCGAAGCCGGUGGCCUAACCCUUGUGGG